AGAUUGAACGCUGGCGGCAGGCCUAACACAUGCAAGUCGAGCGGCAGCACGGGUACUUGUAUCUGGUGGCGAGCGGCGGACGGGUGAGUAAUGCCUAGGAAUCUGCCUAGUGGUGGGGGAUAACGUUCGGAAACGGACGCUAAUACCGCAUACGUCCUACGGGAGAAAGCGGGGGACCUUCGGGCCUCGCGCCAUUAGAUGAGCCUAGGUCGGAUUAGCUAGUUGGUGAGGUAAUGGCUCACCAAGGCGACGAUCCGUAACUGGUCUGAGAGGAUGAUCAGUCACACUGGAACUGAGACACGGUCCAGACUCCUACGGGAGGCAGCAGUGGGGAAUAGUUGGACAAU
This 347-nucleotide ribosomal RNA is filed under the name uncultured soil bacterium. RNAcentral's name for it is "bacterial SSU rRNA". It matches the Rfam family "Bacterial small subunit ribosomal RNA", at positions 26 to 372 of the family's 1533-position model. The record is from RNAcentral.